Molecule: long non-coding RNA, 3347 nt
Organism: Marmota monax (woodchuck)
Lineage: Eukaryota; Metazoa; Chordata; Mammalia; Rodentia; Sciuridae
Exons: 2
Source: RefSeq, a predicted model, not a curated record
UGCUCAUAGAAAGUAAAGAAAUAGAAAUCACCAGGAUUUUCUUCACAGAAAGCAGGUCUUUUGUGUUCCUGCUUCCAAACAAUCCUGUGGUGAUAGUGGAGGCCACAGUGGGAGAAUACAGGAGGCAACACUCUAAAAGGGGAGAAUCUUUCUUGCUGAAUGGUAGAGGUGGGGCACCAAGAUAGUGGCACAAGCCCUCACUGCCUCUUUCUAUGCAUCUAGCUUCCUGCUGCUUGGUGUUGAAUGCAAGCAGUUAUAGAAGUGCACAGCAUAGCCAGGUAACUAAAACCUCAGCUUGGUGGCCAGAGAGCCAAAAAUGAGAGGGCCAGGGACUUGGAAAAGAUUAGAGUGGGCGCACCACUAAGCUAUGCAUAAAUAGAUCUGAUCUUAAUUAGCAUACCAAAGACUUUAAAAACCAAACUAACAGCUAUAACAUACCCCCUCCACCCUGACCCAAACUGACCACCAGAUGACCCAUAUGUGGAUUAGUUCAGAAUAGUGCAGCAAAGGUUUGAAAUACUGAGCUGAUGUUAGAACCACAGCUUGCAUUGAAUUUUGCAGCCUUAACCUGACCAGGUGGAUUGCCUACUAAAACUAACAAAUACAGGGCUGGGAAUGUGACUCAGAGGUAGAGUGCUUGCUAACAUGCGUGAGGCCUGGGUUUGAUUCUCUAUACCACAAAAACAAACAAACAAACAAAAACCAACACUCUGUGUAGGACUUAAAAUCCAGAAUUUCAGAACAUAAUGUCCGAUAUGUCCAGAAGAUAAUGCAAAAUUACUCAAGUUACAAAGAAUCAAGAAAAUCUUAACUUGCAUGGUAAAAGAUAAUCAGAUACUAGUACUAACAUAACACAGAUGUUGAAAUUAUCUCACAGACUUUAAAACAGCUAUUGUACAAACACUCAGCAAAAAUUGUAAACACUCUUAAAAACAAGUAGAAAAAUACAGAGUUUAAGUAAAAGUAAAGGUUUUUAAAAAGAGAAAAAUUUAGAAUUGAAAAAUACAGCAACCAGAAUUUAAAAAAAAAAAAAAAAACCUCACUCAGUAGACUCAAAAGAAAAAAGGAGAUGACAGAGGAAAGUCAGUGAACUUGAAGAUAAGUCAAUAGAUAUUUUCUAAUAUGAACAACAGAGGAAAACAAUUUGUUAUGUUUUUUGUUGUUAUUGUUGCUGUUUUGUUUUUUAGUGAACAGAACCUCAGGAACAUUUGUGUUAAAGGUUUAACAUCCAAGUCAUCAGUUCCAGAAAGAGAAAGAAUAAGGUGCUGAAAAAGUAUUUGAAGAUGUAAUGACUGAAAUUUUUCUGAUUUUGGCUAAACACAUAAACAUAGAUAUUUUUAAAAUUCAAUGAAUUCAAGUAGGAAAAAGUCAAAGAAAUCCAUGCCCAGAAAUCAUAAUUAACCUACUGAAAACUAAAGACUAAAAAAAAAAAAAAAAAAAAAAUCUUAAAAGUAGAUGAAUAAAAAUGAUGCAUUACCUGCAAGGGGGACAGUGAUUCAGGUAACUGCAGAUUUCUCAUCAGGCCAUGAAGAUCAGUGCACAUUUGUCAAGUAUCAAAAGAAAAGAACUAUCAACUUGAAAUUGUGAAACCACCUAACUAUACUUCAGGAAUAAAGUGAAAUAAAAAUAUUUUCAAAUGAAUGGAAACACAAUAAUUCACUCUCAGUAGACCUGCUCUAAAAGAAUCAUUAAAUAAAGUUCUUCAUACAGAAAUGGUACCAGAAAGAAUUUGACUGGAGGUAUUCAAUAAUACACUUGCAUUUAUUUGAGGGUGUGAAUUUAGGGCUACCAUUUUAUUAUUUGCUUUCUGUAUGUUCCCUCUGUCAUUGUUUUCCAUUUUUUCCUCUUCUUUGAGGUUUUUGAAUAUUUUUAUGUUACAUUUUAGUUCAUCUAUUGUCAAUCUUGACUCUUUGUACAGUUGUUGUUGUUGUUGUUUGUUUAUUUGUUUGUUUAGUACAAAGGAUUGAACCCAAGGCCUCACACAUGCUGGACAAGUGAUCUACUACUGAGCCACAUCUCCAACCCAUUUUAUAUUUUAUCUUGAGACAGGGUCUCAUUAAGUUUCCCAGGAUGGACUCAAACUUGGGAUUCUCCUACUUCAAACCUACUGAGUUGCUGGGAUUUUAGGAUGACCUGAUCACCAACUUCUGGGCAUCUGAUCUGCCAUCAAGCUAGCCCACACUCAGUCUAUAGUACAACAACAUUCUUAUAGGUGAACUGUGCAAGUACAUUGAUAGCAGUUUGAUUGUGAUGAGGUCUUUACUCCCUGGAACAGAAACAUCUUCAGUCUUCGUUUCUUUUCUAUUGCUAUAAUACUUGAGUCUGGGUAAUUUAUUUUAAAGAAGAGUUUAUAGUACUGGAAGUCCUAGAGCAUGACACUGUCAUCUUCUCAGCUUCUGGUAAGGGUCUCAUGGUGGAAAGUGGAAGGACAAGUGAAAGAGAAGCAAGAAGAAGCCAAGGAAGCAGAACUUUAUAACAACCUGCUCUUUUGAGAACUAAUCCAGACCCAUGAAAGUGAUAAUUCAUUCACUCCUGCAAGAGAGCUCCACCUCAUGACUCAAAACACCUCUCAAUAUGUUCCAUCUCCCAACAUGGCUAUAUUGAGGAAUUAAGCCUUAACAUGAGUUUCAGUGGACAAACCACAUUCAAACCAUGGAUAUAUUACCCUUUUUGUUUUCCUUCUUCUUCUCCCACUUCUCCCCAUUCUCCAUCAUCUCAUUGUGUUUUUUUGUUUUUGUUUUUGUUUUUGCAGUCCUAGGGAUUGAACCCAGUGCCUUGUUCAUGUUAAGCAAACACUUUUACCUCUGAGCUAUAUCCCAAGCUGUUUGUUUUUCUUUUCUUUUCUUUCAGUACAGGGUCUUUCUAAUUGCCCAGGCUGUCCCCAAACCUGUGUUCCUCCUACCUCAACUUCACAAGUAGCUGGGAUUGUAGGUGAGCACCACCAGUCUCAGCAUAGCAAUAUUCUUUAUAUGAGUUUGCCUUCCCUCCAUACAACACUUCUUUCAGUGCCGUUGUCCAUCCAUGGACUUACAGAAUGCUUUAUCCUUGAUCAUAACUUUGGUUCUACACAAAGAAUUUAUUUUACAACAAAAGACAUGUGGUGUAGAAUAUGUGCUCUGAGUUCAUCAGCUCUAUAUUUAUCCCACAACUCAGAAGCAAUUACCUGCCAGAAUGGUGGAGAGGUCACCUAAAGGCCAAAUUUUGGUGCCCCUGAGGGACAACACCUUAUGAAAAGAGGAUGUAUUGUCACAGGGCACAGUAUAGGCUCUGUAUCAGCAACCAGUAUAUGAUAUUGUUUAUACAAUAGCAAGAUACAGAAGUCCCAGAAUAAAGGAAUAUAAUUAUGA